CUUUACCGCGUCCUCCAGCAGCGUCUCAGGAAUAUAUGGAUAAAAUGAACCUAACCAGUAAGGUGUUCAUUCCCACUCUCUACGGCUUGCAUGUCCAGUCUCAGGAUUACAGGUGUGCAACUCUCGGUGAUGCCUAGAAACAUGGCACCAGAUGCAAGGUGAAAAAUGGAUGACCAUAUGAAAGCACAUCAAAAAAAGUUCUCAUUACCACUCUCUACAGCUUCCAUGUCCAGUCUCAGAAUUACAGGUGUGCAACUCUCGGUGAUGCCUAGAAACAUGGCACCAGAUGCAAGGCAAAAUGGAUGACCGGAUGAAAGCACAUCAAUAAAAUUGACCUGAACUGCAACCAUUACACCCUGACUAGUGCAGAAGUAACUGGAAAUUGCAUGGUACGUCUCACUAUAGAAGUGUGGUCUUGCUUCACGAUAUUGUGAACCAGUUUCUUGGUACAAAAUAAAAUUUUGA
Long non-coding RNA from Pelobates fuscus (common spadefoot toad), 465 nucleotides. RefSeq lists it as uncharacterized. The transcript is spliced from 10 exons. NCBI's taxonomy places the organism in Eukaryota, Metazoa, Chordata, Amphibia, Anura, Pelobatidae. The record is from RefSeq and is a predicted model, not a curated record.